AUGCAGCUUUGUACUGCCAUGUAUAUUAGGAUUGCUGUGUGUGUUACUUGGUUAAAAAUAGAUUUUAUUCUUUAAAUGAAAGUAGAGAGGCUAUUCUUUUAUAUACUUGUGUGAUUAACCAGUCUCGCUAGAAUGUCUCCUUAUGCCAAGUAAAUUUUUCACUGGAAACAUGCUUUUUCUUCUGUGCUUCAUGUAACUGGAAAAUACAGUUUGAUGGCUAGAACUUAGAAGGCAGCUGUCACCAUGCUAGUGGAACAAGCUAUACAUUUGCUGUCUUUCUGGUCUGGACUGCUGCUGGUGGGACACCACCCAACCAUGUUAUUGUCCAUCUGUUUAUUAGCCUGUAUCAAGGUAUCUUGGGUACUUUCUUGCAAGUAGAAGUUAUAAGGAGACCUUAAGGAGUUUGCUUAAAUCCCUUUGAGCUGAUGUAGCAUGUGUUGAGGUAGUGUUCUGGACUUCUUGGACCUGUAUGUUUUUGCUCCCUCCUCUUUUGUCUUCCCUCUUCCCACCCUUAAACUGUGGUUAAUUGGAUUCAGUGUGGUGGUACUGAUCAGACAUGCUUAUGAUACCCUUCACACCAGCAAGCUAGGCCCUUUGAGAAAUUUGUAUUCCUUGUCAGCUCAUCUUCAGUUCACACAGAGAAGCCUCAGGCCUCACAGCAUCUCGGACAUUCAGGCAGGGUUAGUGGGAUUUCUGAAAUGUCACUUUUUGAAAUGAAACAAUAGCUUAACAUUUCAUCUCAAACUGUAUGUAACAAGUUUAAUGCUGUUUAGACUGGCAUGUUUUACAGAGGUUAAGAUGAAAUCCUGCAUGCAGUGCAGGUAUUAAGGUAUAAAGGUAUUUUUUUCUUAAGCCAACCAGUAUUUAAUUUUAAUUUUGUGUCUUGAAGUGGAUCCAGGACUCGAUGAAAAUAGAUGAAGAAGAUAAGGAGGGGGUAAAAUCUGAAAACAGCAAAGCUGAAGAUAAUGUAAAGGAUGCUACUCCAAAUCCAUUAGAAAAAUACAUGAAAAUAAUUCAGCAGAGUAGAGAGCAGGAACUGGCAAACAAGGAUUUAAAAAAAGAAGAAAUAGGAGAAGUAUCACUUACAGAGGGACUUAUAUCUAGUGGAAAGGAUGACAGUGCUACAGGCAUUUCUCACGAAGACGUGGAUGAAAACUUCUGGUGAACAAUAACUACUGAUUAAUUUUUUUUUUCCAAUAAAAUGUGUUUAAAGAAGCCUUAUGCCUGUAAA
RNAcentral lists this long non-coding RNA (1231 nucleotides) under Athene cunicularia (burrowing owl). RNAcentral describes it as "lncRNA (ENSACUG00000004849.1)". Lineage: Eukaryota; Metazoa; Chordata; Aves; Strigiformes; Strigidae. The record is from RNAcentral.